GUGUGAGUGUGCUACCAGGCGACGACGGGUAGCCGGCCUGAGAGGGCGACCGGCCACACUGGGACUGAGACACGGCCCAGACUCCUACGGGAGGCAGCAGUGGGGAAUAUUGCGCAAUGGGCGGAAGCCUGACGCAGCGACGCCGCGUGGGGGAUGACGGCCUUCGGGUUGUAAACCUCUUUCGACCUUGACGAAGCUUUCGGGUGACGGUAGGGGUAGAAGAAGCACCGGCCAACUACGUGCCAGAGGCCGCGGCCGA
Molecule: ribosomal RNA, 259 nt
Filed under: uncultured Pseudonocardia sp.
Lineage: Bacteria; Bacillati; Actinomycetota; Actinomycetes; Pseudonocardiales; Pseudonocardiaceae
Description: partial 16S ribosomal RNA
Rfam family: Bacterial small subunit ribosomal RNA
Source: RNAcentral